AGAGAGAGACAUGCGCGCAUAUCAAUAAGCGGAGGAAAAGAAACUAACUAGGAUUCCCUCAGUAACGGCGAGUGAAGCGGGAAGAGCUCAAAUUUGAAAUCUUCAAGGGUUCUACCUUUACGAAUUGUAGUUUAAAGAAGUGUUUUCUGUUGAGGUUUUGGUAAAAGUUCUUUGGAAUAGGACAUCAUAGAGGGUGAGAAUCCCGUAUUUGACCAUUACUUUCCAACUUUGUGAUACACUUUCAAAGAGUCGGAUUGUUUGGGAGUGCAGUCCAAAAUGGGUGGUAAAUUUCAUCUAAAGCUAAAUAUUGGCGAGAGACCGAUAGCGAACAAGUACCGUGAGGGAAAGAUGAAAAGAACUUUGAAAAGAGAGUUAAACAGUACGUGAAAUUGUCAAAAGGGAAGCGUUUGACACCAGUGUUGUUUUCUCGAAAAUCAAUUAAAAAAGGCAGGAUUUUGUGUUGUAUUGACUUUAUCAGCUUUCUGCACUCUUUUCUUGUCUUUUUUUAAUGCACUUUUCGUUUAACAAGUCAACAUCAAUUUCUUUUGUUGUAAAAGGGUCAUUGGAAGGUGGCUUUCUUUUCGGAGAAAGUGUUUAUAGCCUUUGGCCUCUGCAAUCGGAGAGAUUGAGGUCUGCAGCGUAGAUCCUUCGGGGUUAGAUACAUUUGUGCUAAGUUAUAGCCUUUCAUAGACAACUUGUUGACUAUGAUCAGUCAUGUAGCUUACUCGCUUAUGCUAUUUUACCUACGCUUAGGAUGUUGAUGUGAUACUGCGAGCA
Molecule: ribosomal RNA, 777 nt
Filed under: uncultured Neocallimastigales
Lineage: Eukaryota; Fungi; Neocallimastigomycota; Neocallimastigomycetes; Neocallimastigales
Description: partial large subunit ribosomal RNA
Rfam family: Eukaryotic large subunit ribosomal RNA
Source: RNAcentral